This 368-nucleotide long non-coding RNA is filed under the name Gallus gallus (chicken). The record is from RNAcentral. Lineage: Eukaryota; Metazoa; Chordata; Aves; Galliformes; Phasianidae.
CAACAGUGCAAUGUGUGACACAACAGUGCUGUGUGUGACACAACAGUGCAAUGUGUGACACAACAGUGCUGUGUGUGACACAACAGUGCAAUGUGUGACACAACAGUGCUGAGUGUGACACAACAGUGCUGAGUGUGACACAACAGUGCAAUGUGUGACACAACAGUGCUGAGUGUGACACAACAGUGCAAUGUGUGACACAACAGUGCUGAGUGUGACACAACAGUGCUGUGUGUGACACAACAGUGCUGUGUGUGACACAACAGUGCAAUGUGUGACACAACAGUGCUGUGUGACACAACAGUGCUGAGUGUGACACAACAGUGGCAAUGUGUGACACAACAGUGCUGAGUGUGACACAACAGUGC